Long non-coding RNA from Panicum virgatum (switchgrass), 781 nucleotides. RefSeq lists it as uncharacterized. The transcript has 2 exons. The record is from RefSeq and is a predicted model, not a curated record. Lineage: Eukaryota; Viridiplantae; Streptophyta; Magnoliopsida; Poales; Poaceae.
CAAUCUAGUCCUCAUCUGCUGUUACUCUCCUCCGGCAUGUGUUCCCGUCCGCCGGCGGGCGCCGUUGCCGCCACAGGACGCCGGAGUUCUGGUGGGAGUAUCGCCACUUCUCCAGAUAGCACCUUCCCCUCCUCGACGGCUUCCUGAUCCUUUCCUCCGCCCCUUCUCGCCUCAGCAUGGGCUCUCAACGGAGACCAAGGGUGAGGUCUUCUGCGCGAUCCGCCGUGCGGCGGGAUCAACAACCAGAAGGGAUUUGGGUGUGCCCUCCCUCUCCGGCCGCCUGGGACCUUAUCCGAAUGGAGAGUUGCAGAAGAAUGGAGACAAAGAGGCGUUGGCAGAGGGAGCAGAAAUUCUCAAGGCGACAGCACUACAGUUGCAUCCACAUCAAGCCCCUUCGGACGACACAGUACUCUUACGAUUGUGCUGAACAUCUGGGAGCCAAAGGAGGGGAUAUGGAAUUGCUAAGUCAUCUUGAUCAAUCGAUGCUUUGAUUUCUGUCGUGUCACUCUGUCAUUGCGCCACCGGUCUGUAACUUGAAACUGGUACCUUGCUGGAGGUUUAGUUGCUUAGGCUGGGAAGUCCUGUGCGUUUUGUUAGUUGAUCUAGAAUUUCUGUCAGUGAUGCGGUAGUAGUGUUGAUACUUGAUAGGCAUCCCUUUGUGAUGCUUGGUGACUAGUGAUAUUUGUGUGGCCUGUAAUAACUGAACCUGGUGAUCGUGGAUAUGCUGAAUUUCGUUGCUUUUUGAGUAAUGAAAUUCGGUGAGGCCCAUGUUGAAGAAAAA